This 252-nucleotide ribosomal RNA is filed under the name uncultured bacterium. Its description in RNAcentral is "partial 16S ribosomal RNA". It matches the Rfam family "Bacterial small subunit ribosomal RNA", at positions 524 to 776 of the family's 1533-position model. The record is from RNAcentral.
UACGGAGGGCGCGAGCGUUGUCCGGAUUUAUUGGGUUUAAAGGGUGCGUAGGCGGGAUGCCAAGUCAGCGGUAAAAAUGCGGUGCUCAACGCCGUCGAGCCGUUGAAACUGGCGUUCUUGAGUGGGCGAGAAGUAUGCGGAAUGCGUGGUGUAGCGGUGAAAUGCAUAGAUAUCACGCAGAACUCCGAUUGCGAAGGCAGCAUACCGGCGCCCUACUGACGCUGAGGCACGAAAGCGUGGGUAUCGAACAGG